Molecule: ribosomal RNA, 391 nt
Filed under: uncultured bacterium
Lineage: Bacteria
Description: bacterial SSU rRNA
Rfam family: Bacterial small subunit ribosomal RNA
Source: RNAcentral
GACGAACGCUGGCGGCGUGCUUAACACAUGCAAGUCGAGNGGUAAGGCCCUUUCGGGGGUACACGAGCGGCGAACGGGUGAGUAACACGUGGGUGACCUGCCCUCAGCUCUGGGAUAAGCCUGGGAAACCGGGUCUAAUACCGGAUAUGACUCCAUGACGCAUGUUGUGGGGUGGAAAGCCUUGUGCGGCUGAGGAUGGGCCCGCGGCCUAUCAGCUUGUUGGUGGGGUGAUGGCCUACCAAGGCGACGACGGGUAGCCGGCCUGAGAGGGCGACCGGCCACACUGGGACUGAGACACGGCCCAGACUCCUACGGGAGGCAGCAGUGGGGAAUCUUGCGCAAUGGGCGAAAGCCUGACGCAGCGACGCCGCGUGAGGGAUGACGGCCUCGG